AGGAUGGCGACCGGCGCACGGGUGAGUAACACGUAUCCAACCUGCCGAUAACUCGGGGAUAGCCUUUCGAAAGAAAGAUUAAUACCCGAUGGCAUAAUAGAACCGCAUGGUUUGAUUAUUAAAGAAUUUCGGUUAUCGAUGGGGAUGCGUUCCAUUAGGCAGUUGGUGGGGUAACGGCCCACCAAACCUUCGAUGGAUAGGGGUUCUGAGAGGAAGGUCCCCCACAUUGGAACUGAGACACGGUCCAAACUCCUACGGGAGGCAGCAUG
This 269-nucleotide ribosomal RNA is filed under the name uncultured bacterium. Its description in RNAcentral is "partial 16S ribosomal RNA". It matches the Rfam family "Bacterial small subunit ribosomal RNA", at positions 85 to 353 of the family's 1533-position model. The record is from RNAcentral.